Molecule: ribosomal RNA, 449 nt
Filed under: uncultured bacterium
Lineage: Bacteria
Description: partial 16S ribosomal RNA
Rfam family: Bacterial small subunit ribosomal RNA
Source: RNAcentral
CCUACGGGAGGCUGCAGUAAGGAAUAUUGGUCAAUGGACGCAAGUCUGAACCAGCCAUGCCGCGUGGAGGAUGAAGGUCCUCUGGAUUGUAAACUUCUUUUAUUUGGGAAGAAACUCCCGAUUUCCAUCGGGAUUGACGGUACCAGAUGAAUAAGCAACGGCUAACUCCGUGCCAGCAGCCGCGGUAAUACGGAGGGUGCAAGCGUUAUCCGGAUAAAGGGGGUUUAAAGGGGCAGUAGGUGCAGUGGUAAAAUCUCCGGGCUUAACCCUGAAACUGCCAUUGAUACUAUUUGUCUUGAAUACUCUGGAGGUGAGCGGAAUAUGUCAUGUAGCGGUGAAAUGCUUAGAUAUGACAUAGAACACCCAUUGCGAAGGCAGCUCACUACGGAAAUAUUGACGCUGAGGCACGAAAGCGUGGGGAUCAAACAGGAUUAGAUACCCCAGUAGUC